This 22-nucleotide non-coding RNA is filed under the name Arabidopsis thaliana (thale cress). Lineage: Eukaryota; Viridiplantae; Streptophyta; Magnoliopsida; Brassicales; Brassicaceae. The record is from RNAcentral.
GUCGGCUGUUUCGAUUUGUGGU